Picea glauca (white spruce) is the source of this 121-nucleotide non-coding RNA. NCBI's taxonomy places the organism in Eukaryota, Viridiplantae, Streptophyta, Pinopsida, Pinales, Pinaceae. The record is from Rfam.
ACAUGCCUACAACAUAGCGUUAAUGCACCAGAUCCCAUUAGAACUCCACAGUUAAGCGCACUCAGGAUAGACUAGUACUGGGAUGGGUGACCGCCCGAUAAUUCCUAGUGUUUUACAUGCC